RNAcentral lists this ribosomal RNA (453 nucleotides) under uncultured Parabacteroides sp. Its description in RNAcentral is "partial 16S ribosomal RNA". It matches the Rfam family "Bacterial small subunit ribosomal RNA", at positions 341 to 792 of the family's 1533-position model. Lineage: Bacteria; Pseudomonadati; Bacteroidota; Bacteroidia; Bacteroidales; Tannerellaceae. The record is from RNAcentral.
ACGGGAGGCAGCAGUGAGGAAUAUUGGUCAAUGGGCGGAAGCCUGAACCAGCCAAGUCGCGUGAAGGAUGAAGGUAUUAUGUAUUGUAAACUUCUUUAGCAGUGGAGUAAUAAGGGGAUCGUGAUCCCUGAUGCAAGUACACUGAAAAUAAGGAUCGGCUAACUCCGUGCCAGCAGCCGCGGUAAUACGGAGGAUCCGAGCGUUAUCCGGAUUUAUUGGGUUUAAAGGGUGCGCAGGCGGCUUUUUAAGUCAGCGGUAAAAUCGUGGGGCUCAACCCCAUCCUGCCGUUGAUACUGGAGAGCUUGAUUGCGGUUGAGGUUGGCGGAAUUCGUCGUGUAGCGGUGAAAUGCAUAGAUAUGUCACAGAACACCGAUUGCGAAGGCAGCUGACUAAUCCGCAACUGACGCUCAGGCACGAAAGCGUGGGGAUCGAACAGGAUUAGAUACCCUGGUA